This is a non-coding RNA of Pelobates cultripes (western spadefoot toad), 233 nucleotides long. NCBI's taxonomy places the organism in Eukaryota, Metazoa, Chordata, Amphibia, Anura, Pelobatidae. The record is from the annotation of a GenBank genome assembly.
UUUACAUUUAAUUGCACUUAACUUAGCCAAACUUUAUUAUUUUCUAUCAAGUCAGUAAGUCAACCAGUAUUAACGCCUGUACUUAUAGCCUUAACUGACACGCAAGACCAAAACUCAUAAAUAUAACUUCACCUACAAACUACAACUUAACUUUAGCUAAUAUGCCGAUAUCUCCACGAUACUAAUGUAUCAACGCUGUGUUUAUACUUCCUGACUUUACCAUUGUGACAAAG